Molecule: ribosomal RNA, 535 nt
Filed under: uncultured Pseudomonadota bacterium
Lineage: Bacteria; Pseudomonadati; Pseudomonadota
Description: bacterial SSU rRNA
Rfam family: Bacterial small subunit ribosomal RNA
Source: RNAcentral
AGUUUGAUCAUGGCUCAGGACGAACGCUGGCGGCGUGCCUAACACAUGCAAGUCGUACGCGAAAAGGGCUUCGGCCCCUAGUAGCGUGGCAAACGGGUGAGUAACACGUGGGUGACCUGCCUUCGAGUGGGGGAUAACGUCCCGAAAGGGACGCUAAUACCGCAUGACAUCCUGCCUUUGGAAAGGUGGAGAUCAAAGCCGGGGAUCGCAAGACCUGGCGCUUGAAGAGGGGCCCGCGCCUGAUUAGUUAGUUGGUGGGGUAAUGGCCUACCAAGGCGACGAUCCGUAGCUGGUCUGAGAGGACGAUCAGCCACACUGGGACUGAGACACGGCCCAGACUCCUACGGGAGGCAGCAGUGGGGAAUCUUGCGCAAUGGGCGAAAGCCUGACGCAGCGACGCCGCGUGGGGGAAGAAGGCCUUCGGGUUGUAAACCUCUUUCAGCAGGGACGAAGCCACUCGGGUGAAUAGCCCAGAGGGUGACGGUACCUGCAGAAGAAGCCCCGGCUAACUACGUGCCAGCCGCCGCGGUAAUUC